GACGUGGGGGCCAGCGUUGCUCGGAAUUACUGGGUGUAAAGGGUUCGUAGGCGGUGUGGCAAGUCGGGAGUGAAAUCUCUGGGCUCAACCCAGAGUCUGCUUCCGAAACUGCUGUGCUUGAGUGUGGGAGAGGCGCGUGGAAUUGCAGGUGUAGCGGUGAAAAUGCGUAGAUAUCUGCAGGAACACCCGUGGCGAAAGCGGCGCGCUGGACCACUACUGACGCUGAGGAACGAAAGCUAGGGGAGCAAAACAGG
This 254-nucleotide ribosomal RNA is filed under the name uncultured bacterium. Its description in RNAcentral is "partial 16S ribosomal RNA". It matches the Rfam family "Bacterial small subunit ribosomal RNA", at positions 524 to 776 of the family's 1533-position model. The record is from RNAcentral.